Molecule: antisense RNA, 75 nt
Filed under: Kutzneria viridogrisea DSM 43870
Lineage: Bacteria; Bacillati; Actinomycetota; Actinomycetes; Pseudonocardiales; Pseudonocardiaceae
Description: Kutzneria albida DSM 43870 ASpks TB sRNA
Rfam family: ASpks TB sRNA
Source: Rfam by way of RNAcentral
CUUGAGCGUGCCCAGCCAGAGCGGGUUGUCCUUGUCGCGGGCGCGGCCGUAGGUGGCCAGCAGGGCCUGCGCCUC